UAUAAUGAAUCUGCUUACCUGAAGUGUGUUUCCGCAGAAAUUUCGAAAAAGCUGGCAACAGUAAAGGCAUGUUACAAGCCUUAAAGACAUUGAAGUGAUUAAGGUUGCUGAAAAUGGCUAUAAGA
Equus asinus (donkey) is the source of this 125-nucleotide small nucleolar RNA. The record is from Ensembl. NCBI's taxonomy places the organism in Eukaryota, Metazoa, Chordata, Mammalia, Perissodactyla, Equidae.